AUCAGGGGUAAACCUGUGGAACUCGAACGAGCGAACGGGGAGAUUCAUCGUUCUCCGCGGAUCCGCGGGGCGCGUCGUACAUGUGCGGCGCUCGUCCCGCGGUCCGCGGAGUGCGUGCACUCCUCCCUCAGUAAAACACCGCGACCCGUUGCYGGGUCGACCGCGCCGUGCGAUCGUCCCGCCUCGCGAGGCGGAAUCGCGGCGUCGCGGCCCACGGGCGACGGUAAAGAACGAGGUAUGCGUCCGCCGGCGUCCGCGUUGCGGCGGCGGCUGUCCUCGCCCGGUCGGCGCGCGUCGGCCGACGAGGAACGUCGCGUCCGCCGCAUCGGCUCGGACGGGACGCGUCCCGGUCGGCGGUGGUUUGUUUCGGGCACUCACAGGACCCGUCUUGAAA
RNAcentral lists this ribosomal RNA (394 nucleotides) under Caledopsyche atalanta. Its description in RNAcentral is "partial 28S ribosomal RNA". The record is from RNAcentral. Lineage: Eukaryota; Metazoa; Arthropoda; Insecta; Trichoptera; Hydropsychidae.